Molecule: ribosomal RNA, 460 nt
Filed under: uncultured bacterium
Lineage: Bacteria
Description: partial 16S ribosomal RNA
Rfam family: Bacterial small subunit ribosomal RNA
Source: RNAcentral
CCUACGGGAGGCAGCAGUGAGGAAUAUUGGUCAAUGGGCGCGAGCCUGAACCAGCCAAGUCGCGUGAGGGAGGACGGCCCUACGGGUUGUAAACCUCUUUUGCCGUGGAGCAACGGGCGUCACGUGUGGCGCCACUGAGAGUACCCGGAGAAAAAGCAUCGGCUAACUCCGUGCCCGCAGCCGCGGUAAUACGGAGGAUGCGAGCGUUAUCCGGAUUUAGUGGGUUUAAAGGGUGCGUAGGCGGACCGAUAAGUCAGUGGUCAAAUUGAGGGGCUCAACCCCUUCCCGCCAUUGAAACUGGCGCUCUUGAGUGGAAGAGAAGUAUGCGGAAUGCGGGGUGUAGCGGUGAAAUGCAUAGAUAUCACGCAGAACCCCGAUUGCGAAGGCAGCAUGCCGGCUUCCGACUGACGCUGAAGCACGAAAGCGUGGGGAUCGAACAGGAUUAGAUACCCUAGUAGUC